RNAcentral lists this long non-coding RNA (466 nucleotides) under Physcomitrium patens. RNAcentral's name for it is "long non-coding RNA (PPAT_LNC000370)". Lineage: Eukaryota; Viridiplantae; Streptophyta; Bryopsida; Funariales; Funariaceae. The record is from RNAcentral.
UUUAGGAUUUGGUUUUGAUUUAGGGUUUGAUUUAGAGUUAGGAUUUGAUUAGGAUUUGAUUAGGAUUUGGUUUAGAGUUUGGUUUAGGGUUUGAUUUAGGAUUUAGGGUUUGGUUUAGAAUUUGGUAAGGAUUUUAUUUAGGAUUUAGGGUUUGGUUUAGGGUUUGGUUUAGGAUUUAGGAUUUUAUUAAGAUUUAAGAUUUAAUUAAUUUUGGCCUAAAGUUUGAAUCAAGUCCAAUAGGAUUUAACUAGAAUUAAAUUAAGAUUGAAUUGAGAUGUAUUUGAGAGAUAUUUGUGAUCAUUCUAAUAUUUCUUUAAGAUUUCUUAAUGUUUCUUUGAAAUUUUUUUGAGGUUUUUUUGAAUUUGAUUAAAGCUUGCUUAAUAUUAUUAUAGUCUAAUUAGAAUUUAAUUAGUAUUCUAUUAUAUUUAGGAUUUUUUUGUUACAAUUUCCAUUCUACCUUCCACAG